RNAcentral lists this ribosomal RNA (310 nucleotides) under Gymnographopsis corticicola. RNAcentral describes it as "partial small subunit ribosomal RNA". Lineage: Eukaryota; Fungi; Ascomycota; Lecanoromycetes; Ostropales; Graphidaceae. The record is from RNAcentral.
UGAACCAGCANCUUGGAGGAAUGUAUAGGGAAAANUGGUAAAAUGUGAUGUNCCUAGUANUAUUAGUGAUUANUAUAAGAUUAACUAAGUUAAUUAAAAUUCUAAAUAGGUUUUGAUUAUGACAUUAUUUAUCUAUGUCUUGACCAAGUCACGUGCCAGCAGUCGCGGUAAUACGUGGAAGACUAGUGUUAUUCAUCUUUAGNAGGUAUAUAGGGUACCUAGACAGUCAAUCAAGCUUAAUUGUACUNNUUGACUAGGGUUUAAUANAAAAAGGAUGGAGUACGGUGAGUGUAGAUAUAAAAUUCUGUGA